ACACACACACACACACACACACACACACAGAGAGAGAGAGAGAGAGAGAGAGCGAGAGAGCGAGAGAGAGAUUGGCACAGGGGUAAUUGAUUUCUUCUGUAGUUUAUUAUCAUGACUUUUUUGUUCCUUCCUGGCUGUCCAAACAUAUUGAAGGGAGGAUCGAGGGCCAGACGACUUAAUAGACUUGGCAGCAUUCAUGCCCAGAGAACAGGGAAGAGAAAAAUAUCAAGGCUUACUUAAUGGCAAAAAUGAAAGCACACAUGGAUUGGGCUGCACUCAAUGUGGAGUCCCUUUAACUGUCAGAAAAAAAUCAGAGAAUCCAUGCCAAUCAAACACCCUUUGAUGAGAUCUUCUAUAAAAAGUAAUGGAAUCAAACCAGCAUGAAGUAAAGUUUGAGGAAGAAAAAAGGAGGAUAAGCAGAGAAAGAGUGCAUCUGUGGGAAGCCAAAUAUGCUCCUUUGUUGAUCUUGCGAGCCCACUCAUUGCUUGCAGGUGUAAUAACACAGUCUGAUCCAGCGCUCCUGCUGCUCACAGAGCAGAUAUUUCUACACCCCUCUCGUCCCUCUCCUCAGGAAAACAGCGGCUCAAAGUGAUUCCAGCCAGCUCGGUGAAAGGCCGUCUGACGCAGGUGGAGCUGCACGGUGAGAGAGGGAUGGCAGAGCAAACAGCCCUCACAGCAAGCAGGUAGGACCCAAAUGCAGACCGCACACUGCAGGAUGACUUCAAAGAAUUAUUAAGACAACAAGGCUCAGGUCAACUGUAGAAAAGAGGACAAGGAAACAGGGAGCAGGAUGCCCUGACAGGACAUGAUGCUAAAAGAGAAGUUUGAAGAAAAAGUCAUUCUGAGAUGCUAAAUGUGUUGCAGUCUUCCGUGGAAUAAAUCCCUGUCAACAAGAAGCAACAGUAUAUUCUCAAAAAGGAAAAGGAAGUAGUUUGCAAGGGCGGGGACCUAACAUAAACAAAAUGAAGCCACACAAGCCACUGAGAUAGCUGUGAAGAUGUUGAUCAAUCUGAUGAUGUGUGAACACUGUGAGCAGGAUGAGCCAUCAACUGGACCAAGAUGCAGUCCCCUUACAAAGUUUCAAUUCAAUGAAGCAGAC
Molecule: long non-coding RNA, 1099 nt
Organism: Labrus mixtus (cuckoo wrasse)
Lineage: Eukaryota; Metazoa; Chordata; Actinopteri; Labriformes; Labridae
Exons: 4
Source: RefSeq, a predicted model, not a curated record